Molecule: ribosomal RNA, 397 nt
Filed under: uncultured bacterium
Lineage: Bacteria
Description: bacterial SSU rRNA
Rfam family: Bacterial small subunit ribosomal RNA
Source: RNAcentral
GAGCGCCGUAGCAAUACGGAGCGGCAGACGGGAGAGUAACACGUGGGAACGUGCCCUUCAGUUCGGAACAACCCAGGGAAACUUGGGCUAAUACCGGAUACGUCCGUAAGGAGAAAGAUUUAUCGCCGAAGGAUUGGCCCGCGUCCGAUUAGCUAGUUGGUGAGGUAACGGCUCACCAAGGCGACGAUCGGUAGCUGGUCUGAGAGGAUGAUCAGCCUCACUGGGACUGAGACACGGCCCAGACUCCUACGGGAGGCAGCAGUGGGGAAUAUUGGACAAUGGGCGCAAGCCUGAUCCAGCCAUGCCGCGUGGGUGAUGAAGGCCCUAGGGUUGUAAAGCCCUUUCGGCGGGGAAGAUAAUGACGGUACCCGCAGAAGAAGCCCCGGCUAACUUCGUG